Molecule: RNA transcript, 934 nt
Organism: Drosophila mauritiana
Lineage: Eukaryota; Metazoa; Arthropoda; Insecta; Diptera; Drosophilidae
Exons: 2
Source: RefSeq, a predicted model, not a curated record
UUUAUAACAACAACAACACCGUCACCUGCCAGUGCCAACAUCAACAAAAAGGGGUGCUCCAAAGUGUUUCGAGGACUCGUACCUCCUACGACGACAAUUGCAACAACAGCAAUGCAGAACAAAACGCCAGUCAGCCGGGAAAGUACGCAAAAAAAUGUCUUUAUGUACGGAAGGCAAGGUACGAGCACGGUUAUAUGUAUGUAUAUGUAUAUGUAUGUUUAUGCUACCAUAAUAUGGAACAGAGCCAACAACACAAAAAACAAUGCCAGUGAGUGGCACAGAGCGCUGGAACAGGAGCGGUUCAUCUGGAGUAGAAGCUAUGUUUUGUUCGCAAAUAAGGCAAACAUAUUUCGUGAUCCUGUACUCCUCCUUUGCCGCUCCUGUGGCAAAGAGAACGAAGCGGAAAGGAGGAAACCGAACGGCGACCGCGAUGACGGACUCGUGCGGAUGCUGCUGAUGCCGAUGCUGAUGCCGACGUGGAUGUGGAUGUGGAUGCCGACGAGGAUGAGGAUGACGAUGCUGCUGCUCGGCUCUUCCUGUGGCUUUUCUCACUUGCUGAGCGCAACAAGGACCAAAAAAUACCAGCACGGCAACAACAAUGGCCAACAACAAUAAUAAUAGCGAAUGGCAACAAUAAACUGGGCUUGCGCCAAAAACGAAAUGCGAAAAUUUUGUGGGAAGAGCGAGCGAGAGUCGUCUUCUCACGACGGCAGGACGGUAACAACAACAGAAACAACAAAGGAGUAACGAGAUGGGAAAACAAAAUCACACAUACACACACGAAGAGCGACUCUCACAAAAAGCUGCUCAAAGUCAGUGUUUUGGGUGUGUGUGCGUGCAUGUUAGUGGGAGAGAUUCACCCGAAAAAAGUUUUCAACUUGAAAUUGAACUGUGUGUGCCAUAGUUGAAGGUAGAAGAAGCAGCAUCAGACAAA